UCCACCUCCCGGGGGAGGCACAAUAAGGAAAUGAAGUUCCACCAGGAACGUCGUUGGCGGUUGAUACUUGAUAGCUGCCUCUGUGUACCAGGCACCGACCAGGCUCCUGCAGUCCUCAAUGUCACCCUCGGGGGCCCAUGUUGCAGAGUAGAAAAGAAGGCAGAGGCCGGCCUCUAGCCCUGUGGGAGAACAGUGAAGGAAGGAGGGAGGGUGGGCGUGACCAGGCCAGAGCAAUCCAGGAAGGCUCCCCGGAGGAGGGGGACAACUCCAGGGACCCUCAGGAGAGCAGCUGGCUGUGAGGGCUGUCCCAGGAGACAGGAGGGUGGAGUCCCACAGCCUGGGUUCAAAUCUUUGUGGCCCUGCUUCCUGACUGGGUGCUGGGGACAGGUGACGGCUUCCCAGACUUGUCCGGGCUUCCCUCCUCCCCCACUUUGCCUGGCUCCGCUCAGCGCUGCGUCCUGAGCCAGCGGCUGACCCCAGCCUGCACCAGCUCCAGGCCCAGUGAAGCCCCUCCCUCCAAAAGCACUAAGAAGUUCAAGAGCAUUAAAUCAGGAGUGGAGUCCCCUUCCAGGUGGAGGUCCCCGGCCACCACCUGGGUCACAAACCCUACAGCUCGCCCUGGCCCAGCCUCAGUGACCACCUGCCCCGUGUUCUGGCUGCAAAUCUCCCCUACAGCUGCUGGCCCUCACCACCCCCUGCCCCUGCUGCUCGGCCACCGUGGGCAGGAGUGGUGGCUUCCCUCAGCUCACCCUGUGGGCAGGUGGCCCUAGAUGGACUCCAGGUGCCACCUACAGUUAGACUUCAGAUCCUUUGAGUAUUGGAUUCUGGAGGCAGAGAACAUUCCAGGAGAGGGGAGCGGCCCUGCAGGAGCCUGCCUGAGGGACUGGCCGCUUUGCUUCAGGGGGAGGUGGCUGGAGUCAGUCCCAGGGGUGUCCCCUCUCUCAGGAGUGGGGUCCCCUCUCUCCUGGGGAAUUAAGACAGUGACUUAGACGGGAACAGGUGAGGCCCGGUGGCCAGUGGCCCAUGGGCAAGGGGCCAACCUGGGGAGCUGCUGUGGGACAGGCUGUGGCCUCUGCCUUGCGGACACGGGGAGCGUGGCCGCCAAGGACUGGCCAGUCUCUUCCGCGAAGGCCUUGAUGACCACGGCUGUGGUCGCAGCUGGGUGGCCGCGGCUGCAGGGGCUCCGGGCCCAACUCUAUUGGGUCCAGUCGAGGAUCCCGCGGAGGACGCGGCCCCCUCUGGUGGUGAGAAGGGCGACCUUCCUAGCACCGCCCAGGACGAGGGGCUUCGAGGGCCCGAGAAGGCGGGAGGCCCCAAAGGCGACCAUGGGUCAGACAUCGGGGCCACAGGGCCUGGGCGGGGGGCGUUCCUUCGGUUGGACGCGCCCUCACCUGUCCCCGAACCCGAACCCUGGAACAGAGGCCUCAAGGGUCUGGAGCGAAGCCACCGACAGUGAUACGUGCAGCUAAUGGCCGGCUGGUGGCCUUGAUUUGCCCAACUGAGGGGCAGCGCGUCCCCCGGCCAAUCCGAAGUGCCUGGUGCCCCCUGGGAAGGUCUGCGGCCUCUGGAGAAGGCCUGGGUGUACUGGGAAAAUCUGCUCUCAAAGAAAGCUUGGCUGAAAAAUCAAACUUCACCAAAUCUGGACAUGCGGGGAGGAAGAGCUUGCUCUGUUUGAUGGUUAGAAAACAGCACGCCUUGGAAAUGCCCUUUUAAAUUAUUUUUUAAUUUAUUUAUUGGUACUGGGGAUUGAACCCAAGGGCACUUAACCACUGAGCCUCACUAAGUUGCUGAGGCUGGCUUUGAACUUGCAAUCCUCUUGCCUCAGCCUCCCCAGCCACUGGGAUUCCAGGCCUGCACCAUGGUGCCUGGCCUCCCAUUUGUUUUAAACAAUCAGAAAUGACUUCUGGAAGCGACUUUGAAAUGGAGCCACCUCUGGAAGUGACACCAGGAGUGACACCUGUUCCCUUGAGCAGAAGCUGGGACAAGGAAGAGAAGCCGGUCCUGGGCCACAUGGGUCCACACUGUUUGUGUGGGGAUUUCACUCCUCAUUCCUGUCCGUGGGCUUUGUUUUGCUUUUGUGUGCAGAGUGUCUAUAAAGGACAAACGAGUCCUCAUCUACGUCCGCAGUCUUUCUAGAUGUUAAAGAGGUGGCCACUGUGUGACCAAGUACUGUUCGUAAGCAUAAAUUAUGUCCAUUUUGUAUUAAAAUUCCUGGGAAAGAAGGUCUUCUAAAGAUGUCAGCAUUGGGCUGGGGAUGUGGCUCAAGCGGUAGCGCGCUCGCCUGGCAUGCGUGCGGCCUGGGUUCGAUCCUCAGCACCACAUACAAACAAAGAUGUUGUGUCCGCCGAAACUAAAAAAUAAAUAUUAAAAAAAAUUCUCUCUCUCUCUUUAAAAAAAAAAGAUGUCAGCAUUAUAGCCCCCGGGUCAGUGACGGGCCAGAAUGCUCAUAUUUUGAAGACAUUUCCAAAUUAGAACAUUGCUACCUGUGGGCAGUUGACUCCAGACUAUGGUGUAUGUGGCAGACGAAUCAAAGCCCUUACCUGAAACAUCUCGUCUGGUGAGAUGUUCAGAAGGGCCCUGCGUAUGUUAAAUGCAGAGGUGGCAAAAAUAUCGCUUUGUAGAUAUAUUUUUGCUCAACUUCAUAUCAAAUACUGUCUUUGGGGAGUGGAACUGUUAACCCACUGCUCUGAGUAGGGCUGUGGAGGUGGUUAUACGUUUAUUGUUUAUUUAGUUACUUUAACUAGGUGCUGAGGAUCACACCCAAGGCCUCACGCGUGCUAGGAGAGUGCCGUACCGCUGAGCCCCACCCUUGCAGUGUGCAUAUCAUGGACAAAACGAGACCCAGUUUUGCAACUUGGCGUCUCUAGAUGAUAAAGAGAUUGCCAGUGUAUGACAAAGUAAAAUUAGCACAUUUUCUGCAUUGUGUUAAAUCCAUGGGAAAGCUUGUCCUCUGUAAAUAAUUUCUGGCUGUGAAUUUGUUUAACCAUCUGUAAGCAUCACAUACGGCUGCACUUGUCCACUGGACUGAAUUUAGAGAGAAGGAAGUGGGGAGGGAGAGAUUUAAGGCCAAAACGGUCAUGUUAGAAGAUCCCUCGGAUUAUAACCACCGGGACGUGCACAGUUGUAUUUAUCAGUGCCGAGCUCGAGGAGGACAGGUUCUCUUGUGGGAGAGCUUCUGUAUAUUUAGAAGGGCUUGCCAUGUUUGAAAGUAGACAUCGUAGAAUAAAACUUUUUGUAAAUAGCUUUAAAAAAUGGAUGGGAAAUACUGUGUUUGGAAUCGUACCUGUUCACCAGGCUCACGGAGGUGGGAGGAAGAAGUGGCAAAAGGUGUCUUGUAGAAUGUGCUGGAAACCGUAGCUUGCCCACGGCCGUUUGUUCCCUGUGUUUCACUGAACGUUGUCCUGCUGUAUAUAUUGUGUACUUACUGGACAAAGGAGUCUUAAUUUCACAUCCAGUCUCCAGAUAUUAAAGAGUGUGCUGGUGUAUCGAUGAAAAAAAAUUCAUGUCCUUUAGUUUUAUGGCUCUAAUAUCUUUCUUUCCCCAGGAAGGUCCUGAGCACCGUGACCCAAGAUGCCAGGAGCCAAGGGGUCUGCCUCCCCCACAGGCUCCCCCAGGUCCCCAGGCAGCUGGGGCUUUAGACACGAGGAAAAUGGAUGCUACAAUUUUAUCCACUGACAUUUUGCAAAUUUGAAACGGGAUGAGCUGUGAGCUUGGCUCAGCCCCUAAAGGGCUCCUGUCCAAAAGAGGCCCCAGGGCCUGGGCUUCCCUGGCCAGGGACACUGGGCCUGGCUGGCCCCUCUCACUGCACCUCCCUCCCCUCCUUCCCCGGGGCGUCAGAACCCACGGCCCCUCCCCUGCUCGGCCCCAGGACGUGUGCCUGCGGCCAGGCCUCUCUGAUGAACGCAGCCUGCUCACCUCUGAUUGGUGACGUUGCUCGUGGUGAAAAGGGUCAUUCUCUUUGGCUCCCCUUGUUGAAUUCCAGGAGUUCUGGGAGGCUCAGCUGGGGAGUUCUCCUGGUGGCAGCUGGUGUCUCCUGGGGCUGCCACCACCUGACGGCUCCGCUGGGCCCGGCGGGACGUCCAAGAUGGCUCUUGGAGCAGAGAUUUGGACCCAGGCCACCCAGUGCCCGUUCCAGGUACCAGCCCCUGGGUGGUCCUGGUGUGGGCUUCUCAGCUGUCCUCCUGAGCCUCGCGGGGCGGCUCCUGGACAGCUGCUCCAUUUCAACGGCAAGACUGAGGGGGACACGUUUCCCUCCCAGCCAGGGCUUAUUUUAGCUGCUUAUUCUUUACGGUUUGUCAGCGUUCUCUGGCUUCUCCUUUAUCUCCGUGGCAGGGCCUGCUGUCCAGGUGGGCAGUGGCCAUCUCCCUGGUGCUUAUGUCAAGGUCCCCAGCAGCAGUGACCUGCAUGGAGCACCAUUGGCACCUGGUCCCAGGACUGGUCCAGGUCAGUUGGAGGCUGGCUCAGCAUCUGGGACCUGAGCCUUGAAUGCUGGUCUCCUGGGCACCAUGGGCAUCUCCACAGGGGGCAGGUGGGUGCCCAUCUGUGAAACGGGUGUGAAGGGCAGGGGUUUCAGUGAUGUCCACCUCUAGGUCUUCCGUGGGUGGAGUCGUGAGGAACCGCGUCUCACUACUGGGAAACUAGUGGCUCAUGCCACUCGGAGCCUCGUGUCUCUUCCACAUAACGAAUCAGGGGUAAGUGUCCAGGAUCGGGGAGGGGCUCCACGGUGGUGAUCAGGGACUUGUUGAUGGACGUCUGGGUGGCUUUCUAUUGCAGGGAGCCUCCUUGUCACUGUGUGGACAGACGCUUCCAUUUCUCCCGGUGAAUUCCUAGGAGCAGAAUGGGUAGGUCAGGCACAGGUGUCUCAGGGCAAUGGAAACUCACUGUUCACAACGCGGGAAGCCGGGAAAUUCAAGAUCAAGGUGCUAGCAGAUCCGGCGUCUGGCAAGGGCUGGUGCCUUCUUGCUGUGUCCUCACAUGGCCGGAGGAGCAAAAGGCUAACCAGCUCCCUUGAGCCUCUUCACAAGGGCGCUAACUCCGUCCAGGAGGCCCCACCCUUGUGAUUAAAACCGUCCCUAAGCACCCCCCCUUAGUACUCUCACACGGGCAACCAAGUUUCAGUGCAGAUUCUGUAGGAGACACAACCUCCCAUCCAGAGCAGUAAGAGACGGCCAGACGGUUUUCACAGUGGCUGAGCCGUGGCACUGGGACCAGCUGUGACGGGAGGUGAUUCUGUCAGCCUACACUUGCUAUUUUCAAUCUCAAGUGGUGCCCCUCCUGCUGGGUAUGAAGGGUAACUGGAGGGUUUCCGUUUCCUGUCUCUUGAGGGUUGCUAACGUCUUUUCAAGUGCGAGUUGGCUGUUUGGAUGCAUCUUCUCUUUGAAAGCUCAGUGUGCACCUCCAGUCAACAGGGAGGAUCUGGGGCUGGAAGAGCAGACCUUCGUCCUUCCUGUCCCUUCUGAUGGCUGGCUGGAAAGACGUCCACCCAGGGACCCUGGUUCGGCUGUGAUUUUCUCCAUUUUUCUCAGCAGGAAGCUCGGGAGGCGCCCUGACCCGCCGGCUGCACUCGUGGGUGAGUGCGGAGUGCGGCAUCCUGGAGCCGGGGCCUCCAACAAGGUGGCACUGCCUGGCCCCGCAGGCCACGUGACAGGCAUGCUCUCUGUCUGGAUCCCUGUGUCCCUGUCCAGUCUGUGUCGUGACUCACAAGGCAGCCAUCAGAGUACCCCAAAACGUCCUCCCUACGGUGUCAGGGACAGCGAUGAGCAAGACCCAAAUAAAAUGUGCAGCACAUUCCCUCACGUCUGGACAGUGACAGAAAAUCGAGCUACAAUUGCUUUCGUGCAUUCUGAGAGCUGGGUCUCUGCCCGAAGGCGGUGAUGUAAAUAAGGCUGAUGUUUACCUCUCUGUUGCGAAACGAUCUGAGCCUACAGGAGCAGUGCUGUCUGCAGAUGGCUGCUCUAGCUCCUGCCAUUGCAUCUGCCUUUCAGCUGAGGCAAGAAAACGAAGGGGAGGUACCUACCUUUCUUUUUGAAGGCAUUAACCGGAAAUUGUAGGACUCGUUUCUGCUCUCAUUCCAUUGGUCAGAAUCCAGUCAUGUGACCCCGUCUAUGUGUGUGGCAAGCACCUAUCUAAAUAGCUGUGUCUUUUAUUCCUGCAGAAGGAGGGGCGGGGGACACUGGGGACACAACCGCAGAGUCUUCCUCAGUGACUAGUGGCCAGGCAGUGUUUCAGUUGGUGAGGAAGAACAAUGGACAGGAAGCCUGAGGCCGGCAAGAUGGCUUGGAUCAAUGUUCCGCCCCAGUCCAGGUUGGAAAAGUCUGGCCCCGUGUGGGGUGCCUGGCUUCUGACACGCGAGAAGAAAAGACUUUCCGGGAACCCGCCUGCUGCUCUCUCCUUCCGUCUCACUGGUCACCUGGGUCACAGGGCUUCCCUCGCUGCAAGGGAGCCUGGGACAUUGGGAGCAGGGUCUCAGGAUUGGCUUGGAGCAGGGCACAGAGCCUCUUCCCGGGCAGCAGGGUUCUGUUGAGGCACAGAAGUGGGGUAUCCCCAGCUCUUGUUCGGCAGUGGCUUCUGUGCCGGUGAAGUGAAGUGUGUGUUGGUGGGUGCCCGCGGGAGUCACCCAUCCUCCGUGUUGUUGGCCAUUAACUUCAGGGUCCCCUCCACCUGCAGUGUGACUUGGAAAAAGAUAAAAUAAUUUUGCAACGAGCUUCACCUGUUUGCUGCGGGCGGCUUGUCCCUCCCUGUGUGGCUGGUUUGCAAGUGUCUGGGCAGUGGCACAGCUGUGCCUGGCUUCUCUAUGUGACAAGCCACUUGGAAAAACACCUCCACAUCUCUGGUCUCUUUUCUGCCAUUCGUGAUGGGAGUCAUCGAUUGUGCACUGGAGAGUUUUAUUUUGAGCUUGUUCUAUCUAGUAAACUCCAAUGGUUUCCCCCAGGGACGCCUCGAUGUGUUUUGGGGGGAAAAUGUGAAAACUUCACGGGGUCCUUUCCCAGCCAGCACCAGGCAGCUGACAGAGGAGCCCACACGGGUCACAGGUGACGCAGCUCUGGUGUUCGGUGUUUAUGGCUGUGCUUUCUGUGUUUUACAAAAUCAUACAUUUCUGAGCCAACACAUUCCACAGGCAUAUCAAAUCCUAUUUCACUAGGUUACGACUGAGUAUAUUUUGGAUUAUACAAUUUUUGUUGAAAUUUUGACUCUUACGUUGAUAUUUCAACAAUUCCAUUUUGCAUUAUAUGUUAUGUUUACUUUUCUUAUUUGGAGCUAUCGUACAACUGCAAACACAUAUUGAGAUCUUGCCAUGUGCCAGAUGUUGGCAGUUUUGAUUAUUAUUUAUUUUUUGUGGUGCUGGGGAUUGAACCCAGGGCCAUGCACACACUGGGUAAGCUCGACUCUGAGCUAACUCUAACCCACACAGAGGCAGUUUUUAAAACAUGUCCCAUUUUUAAAAAAUACUUCUGUUGUGGGACGGGGUCUAUGUUCCUUCCUCUCCAAUCUGGGCUGGCCCAGGCUUGGUGGCCCUGGGAAGCUCAAGCAGCAGAUCACAAGUUGGAGUCCAGCCUCAAUGAUUUAGGGAGAUCCUGUCUCAAAAUAAAAUAAAGAACGGGCUGCGGGUGUAG
Marmota monax (woodchuck) is the source of this 7613-nucleotide long non-coding RNA. RefSeq lists it as uncharacterized. NCBI's taxonomy places the organism in Eukaryota, Metazoa, Chordata, Mammalia, Rodentia, Sciuridae. The transcript is spliced from 3 exons. The record is from RefSeq and is a predicted model, not a curated record.